Strigops habroptila (Kakapo) is the source of this 2670-nucleotide long non-coding RNA. RefSeq lists it as uncharacterized. The transcript is spliced from 2 exons. Lineage: Eukaryota; Metazoa; Chordata; Aves; Psittaciformes; Psittacidae. The record is from RefSeq and is a predicted model, not a curated record.
UGGGGCGGGGCGGAGCGCGGCGCGGCGCGGCGGGGGCCGCUGAGGCGGCUGCCGGAGCUGAGUGACCCGGCGUGCGCCCGGCUCCCCCGCUGCACGGUGAUAACUACCAUGGAUUCGUGAGGCUGCCAGCAGAAAACAGCUUAGAUUCCAUUAUCUGUCUCUGCCAGCCUGCAGUAACUUGGAUGUCUGCAAACUUGAACGUAUUUGAGCUGCUGCUGUGGCCUGAAAUGGUGACUCAUUCUCCAUUUUGUGAUUUUUCAGGAAUUUCCAUACAAUUAGAAAAGGUGCACUGGUGAAAACCCCAUCUUCAAUUGUAUGAGGUACUGAUGGAAAUGAGUGAAGGGCUCACAGUGUAUGCAUGCACAACUCUUCUCCAUUCUCAGGCUCAAUCUGUUAAGUCAGACAUUGUGUGACUUGUCAAGUCACUAGACUGCUAAUAACUGGCUUGUUACCAUCCAUUUCCUCUCAAUGUAGGUUACACUUUUAUCUGGGGUAGUUUUUCCUGGUUGUCUGCUUAUACCCACAGGAGCAGGUUUAUGAUGAAUCAAAAUUCAUCUGCUUUUAAAAUGGAUUAAAAAUAGGUUCGCCAGUUUAAUUAAGUUUACAAGUCUCCUGAAAUUAAACCAGUACGUAUUUCUUAAAUCAAGUGGCCAGUAAAAGUACUGAAAGCCCAAAGGUGUGGUCAGGAUGUAUAAAUAGGAGACGGCGCAGUAAGUGACUGUACAUAAGCACAGUGACUGUACAUAAGCACAGUAGCGCUUAUGAAAACCAGUGUUAAGUGUACACAGGAGAUCUAUACAUCAAAAAUUUGCUUAGCAAAUGAGUAUUGUUUUUAUGGAAUGAUACAGCUGAAUUGGACUUUUAACAAAUGUUUCUACCUGGAAAUUUAAUUAAUAUGUACUAGUAGACUAUGACUCAAUUUGCUAUUGCACAAAAAUACAGAAUAUUCAUUUGUAUUGAAAAAAAAAUCAGAAUCUAUCCAGUAUUACUUUAAGAGUUGCACAUUUUAUUAAUUUCAGAGAAGACUCCAUGCUUCCUUCACUUACUUCCCUUGAUCCUGGACUUGAUUUGAAUACCACCACCUCCAGAGUUUUUGUAAUGAAGAGCUAGACAUACGAUUCUGCAACUAGUCCUGUAUAUGAAAAAGUUUUUGUAUACAUUUUUCUAACACUAUGGCAUUAAACUGGGUGUCUCCAUUAAAAAAACCACACCCAGAAGGAAAUUUUAUUGCUUUGUGACUUCAGAAGAUAAAAAGUAAUCUUCCCACCAGAGGGAGAAAGUGGCAAGUCAUGAUUUAUGCGACAGAUUUCAAAACUUGAAAAAUUACCUACUUUUAAUUACAGUUUUAAAGUACACUUGUGGGUGGGUAAUCUGUAAAACAUGAAUUCAUAUUUCUUCCCACUCACCUCUUCUUAAUUGAGCCAUUUUAUAUAUAUAAACACACAGAAUAAGGAAGUAUAAUAGAAUAAUUUAAUAAAACAUGAUGUACACUGAUUCACGUUGGACUCCUUUCAAGUCAAGAAGUUAUGACAUACAUAAGAAUGUAUGUAAACUUGUUGCUGAAGCUGGCUUUGGGCUUGUGCUUCUACGUAGGGAUUGAGACGUGGUAAAGAACUGAAUCUUGGUGGACUUUUGUACUAAUUCCUUUAUUAUAAAAAUCUUUUUCAAAUAUUUACAUGCUUAUAAUAAUUCCUAUAACAUCCAACUCAAAUCAUUGCUUACAACAGUUUAAAGGUAUUUCCCUUACAAUCUGCACGCCUGGUCCCUUUGGACCGCACCAUAGGGUUUAAUAUUGCAAUGAAUUCCUCCCCUUGCCCCUGCUCCAGUUAGGACUUGCCCACAGACUGCAGUCCUUUAGGGGUGUACCUGCCCCAAGGGGAGCCUUAUCUAUAAGCCAGUGCCUCCAGGGGAAUACCUGCUGCAGAUUGACUUAUCCAUAGCUGCAGUUGCUUGGAGGUGCACCUCUUCCAGCAUGGCCUUGUCCAUGGGUCACAAUGCCUUUAGAGAUGUUCCUGCUCCAGCACGGCCCUAUAACCCAUAGCCCCUUCAGAAAUAAACCUGCUCCAGCAUGGCCUUAGCCACAGAUGUACCCGCUCUGUUGUAGCCUUAUCCUUGGGUGCAUGCUUUGAGGUGCUCCAGCAUGACCUCCUGCACAGCCACUGAUGCUCCAAGGUGUACCUCCUCCAGCGUGGACUCAUCCCUGAGCUGCAUCACUUCAGAGGUAUACCUGCUGUAGCCCAGAAAUAACGAGGGCCAUAGAUGCUUCAAGAUGUGUACCUGCUCUGGCAUGGACUUAUCUAUAGCCACAGAUGGUUCAGGGUGUCCUGCUCCUAUGUGGACUGAUCGACAGGUCACAGUGCCUUUGCCUUGAGUUCACACUGGAGUUUCAGCCUGUCCAGUAAGCACAGAAACAGCACAGAAACAGCAGCCAUGCCCUGGCCAUCUGCCAGCCCAGGCGCAUUGCCAUUGCUGUUAUCAAAAUGUUCCCAGGCACAGCAGAGUCAGAUGAUAAGCAGGACACCAAGCAGCGAAAGCAAAAAGCAGCCACUAAUGAGCGCAACACUGAUACACAGUAAGGCAAGCAAGCCCCAUGGCAAGCACAGCAUGCUGUCAGUUAAUAGCUAAACAGCAGUAACAGCUAUAAAUUCCAUCUAGCACAUCCCAGCCACA